AGAGUUUGAUCAUGGCUCAGGACGAACGCUAGCUACAGGCUUAACACAUGCAAGUCGAGGGGCAGCAUGGUCUUAGCUUGCUAAGGCCGAUGGCGACCGGCGCACGGGUGAGUAACACGUAUCCAACCUGCCGUCUACUCUUGGACAGCCUUCUGAAAGGAAGAUUAAUACAAGAUGGCAUCAUGAGUCCGCAUGUUCACAUGAUUAAAGGUAUUCCGGUAGACGAUGGGGAUGCGUUCCAUUAGAUAGUAGGCGGGGUAACGGCCCACCUAGUCUUCGAUGGAUAGGGGUUCUGAGAGGAAGGUCCCCCNCAUUGGAACUGAGACACGGUCCAAACUCCUACGGGAGGCAGCA
This 354-nucleotide ribosomal RNA is filed under the name uncultured bacterium. Its description in RNAcentral is "bacterial SSU rRNA". It matches the Rfam family "Bacterial small subunit ribosomal RNA", at positions 8 to 353 of the family's 1533-position model. The record is from RNAcentral.